UCAAACUCGUUUGUGUCCUUUGUAAGCUCGAAUAAUUUGGUGGACAGCAGGUGGACGAAUCCAUGUCUGAGUCGGCCUCAAUCAAUCACGCUGAAAUGCGAAAUGCCGGCAGGCCCCGGAAGGUUACGCUGGACCGCGGUCGCUGUCGAGUGAGCACCGGUGUCUGGCCACCUCGAGCGAGGGGAUUCGCUUUGAAUUGGCUCCACAGAAGAGGUGCUGGGCAGAGGCUCCUUGAUGGGUGAAGAUCUGUAGGUGGGUGCCCGAGAGACGCAAGACUGCUGGGUAGAGGAAGAGGACUUGGCGGAGGACAAUGUCUGGGUGGAGCAGGUUGCCUUGGACGCUUUGGUGGAAGAGCGUGAGGUGGAUGAAGACUGGACACUGGAAGAGGCCUGGAUGGAGGAGGGCAUCUUGGCAGGGGAGGAUGCCUGUGGCGUGGAGAGCGCCUGGACAGUGGAAGACGCCUGGCAGGAGGAUGCCUUGGUGGUCGAGGAUGCCUCGGGCUUCGGCGUCUUGGACCUGCCCAGUUCUUAAAAUCACAAGGAAAGAUUUUCAGUGUACCUAGCUGAAUAAUUUCACAUUUUGAAAGAUGUCUGAGGUAGACAUUAACCAUGUCCGCCAACAAUUACCUCCUUCCAAAUCCAUCACCCCUGAAAAAGCAGAGUCAUCCAGCCACGUGUGGUCUUGGCUAGUGGAGCUCAAUUCCUGAUAAAAAAAUUAAA
Molecule: long non-coding RNA, 719 nt
Organism: Brienomyrus brachyistius
Lineage: Eukaryota; Metazoa; Chordata; Actinopteri; Osteoglossiformes; Mormyridae
Exons: 2
Source: RefSeq, a predicted model, not a curated record